CGAGACGCUGGAGAGCGGGAGGGGCCGGGAAGCGGGGCGCGCUGCGGUCCGGCUGCUGGCCCGGAGCCCCGAGGAACAAUACUGCGUGUGUGGUUUGUGAAGCGAAGUUCUGGAACCUGGCUGGCUGUUCAGUGCAGACAAGCAGAAAUGUUCAUUUUGAGCCCAGACUCUGAAACUUUCAAGCUGAGCUGAAACCAGUGCCCCAAUAAUGAGAGUGGAAGGAAAGAGUAUGAUGAGGAGAGUUCUGAUCUUUGGUUGUUAUUAUUAUUAAUGUUUAGGACAGCAGUUAUCAACAACAUGUUAAGAAAUUGCACUGAUACUGACUUUUAAACAAUCCUGUACUCCUAAUCGUUUCCUUUUGUUUACUAGAUGUCAUUGUAACAAACUGAAAUUUUCAUCUUCCUUGUGCUCGCGCAGAGCUGGAAGUGCUACGCAUGUACAUUUCGAUUUGUAGUCUUUCUAAGCGCCAUCCUGGCACACGCUUUCAAUAAAGUUCAACAAGAAUUCA
Suricata suricatta (meerkat) is the source of this 508-nucleotide long non-coding RNA. RefSeq lists it as uncharacterized. The record is from RefSeq and is a predicted model, not a curated record. The transcript has 2 exons. Lineage: Eukaryota; Metazoa; Chordata; Mammalia; Carnivora; Herpestidae.